RNAcentral lists this ribosomal RNA (457 nucleotides) under uncultured bacterium. Its description in RNAcentral is "bacterial SSU rRNA". It matches the Rfam family "Bacterial small subunit ribosomal RNA", at positions 29 to 518 of the family's 1533-position model. The record is from RNAcentral.
AACGAACGCUGGCGGCAGGCCUAACACAUGCAAGUCGAACGCCGUAGCAAUACGGAGUGGCAGACGGGUGAGUAACGCGUGGGAACAUACCCCUCGGUUCGGAAUAACUCAGGGAAACUUGAGCUAAUACCGGAUACGUCCGAUGUUUUAAUCGACCUUGGAGAAAGAUUUAUCGCCGGAGGAUUGGCCCGCGUCUGAUUAGCUUGUUGGUGAGGUAAUGGCUCACCAAGGCGACGAUCAGUAGCUGGUCUGAGAGGAUGAUCAGCCACAUUGGGACUGAGACACGGCCCAAACUCCUACGGGAGGCAGCAGUGGGGAAUAUUGGACAAUGGGCGAAAGCCUGAUCCAGCCAUGCCGCGUGAGUGAUGAAGGCCUUAGGGUUGUAAAGCUCUUUACCCGGGAAGAUAAUGACGGUACCGGGAGAAUAAGCCCCGGCUAACUUCGUGCCAGCAGCCGC